AUCUCAGGCCAUAUCAGCCUGAGGGCGCCCGAUCUCGUCUGAUCUCGGAAGCUAAGCAGGGUCGGGCCUGGUUAGUAUCUUGGAUGGGAGACCACCUGGGAAUCCCGGGUGCUCGAGGCU
This 120-nucleotide ribosomal RNA is filed under the name Bison bison bison. Lineage: Eukaryota; Metazoa; Chordata; Mammalia; Artiodactyla; Bovidae. The record is from RNAcentral.